RNAcentral lists this non-coding RNA (27 nucleotides) under Mus musculus (house mouse). The record is from RNAcentral. Lineage: Eukaryota; Metazoa; Chordata; Mammalia; Rodentia; Muridae.
UGAACAAAAUGUGUGAGCAACGUGGUC